Molecule: transfer RNA, 82 nt
Filed under: Dreissena polymorpha
Lineage: Eukaryota; Metazoa; Mollusca; Bivalvia; Myida; Dreissenidae
Rfam family: tRNA
About the family: Transfer RNA (tRNA) molecules are approximately 80 nucleotides in length. Their secondary structure includes four short double-helical elements and three loops (D, anti-codon, and T loops).
Source: Rfam by way of RNAcentral
GUUGUCGUGGCCGAGUGGUUAAGGCGAUGGACUACAAAUCUUUUGGGAUCUUACCGCACAGGUUCGAAUCCUGCCAAUAUCG